AUACCAGCACCUCAAGUGGUCAGGAUGAUUAUUGGGCCUAAAACAUCCGUAGCCGGCUUUGUAAAUUUUUGGUUAAAUCUGUACGCUCAACGUACAGGCUUCCGGGAAUACUGCAGAGCUAGGGAGUGGGAGAGGUAGGCGGUACUCGGUAGGAAGGGGUAAAAUCCUUUGAUCUAUUGAGGACCACCUGUGGCGAAGGCGGUCCACCAGAACACAUCCGACGGUGAGGGAUGAAACCUGGGGGAGCAAACCGGAUUAGAUACCCGGGUAGUCCCAGGUGUAAACUAUGCAAACUCAGUGUAUGCGAUUGGCUUGUGGCCAAUGCAGUGCUGCAGGGAAGCCGUUAAGUUCGCCCGCC
RNAcentral lists this ribosomal RNA (358 nucleotides) under uncultured archaeon. Its description in RNAcentral is "bacterial SSU rRNA". It matches the Rfam family "Archaeal small subunit ribosomal RNA", at positions 473 to 828 of the family's 1478-position model. The record is from RNAcentral.